This 107-nucleotide ribosomal RNA is filed under the name uncultured bacterium. RNAcentral's name for it is "partial 16S ribosomal RNA". The record is from RNAcentral.
CCCGUCACACCAUGGGAGCUGACUCAACCAGAAGACGGUCAGGCUAACCUCGUAGCGUAAGCUACGGGGCGGGGCCUCCGGCGAAGGUGGGGUUGGUGACUGGGGUG